GGAGGGAGGCAGGCGCGCCGCUAUCCCCGAGCCCCCGAGCCUCCGGCACGCGGAACGCAGGGCGUGCUUGUGCCGCUUCAUCUUGUCUCUGUGCCCCGCGAGGGCCCGGAGCGAGCCGAGGGCAGUGCACCGAAGGCGGCAGUCACACCAGAACGAGGGUUUGGCCACAACCCUUCAUUUCUGUAUUUGGUGCAAAGUGCUGAGAAACAGGAGGAAGAGAAUUGGGGAGUGCAUCAAAUAAUGUCUUGAAAUAUUUUAAUUUACUAUUUGAGGUCUGAGAUAACUAUUUUAUAAAGUGAAUUAAAAAACUUGAAAUGCUUCAGUAAAAAGUAAAUUUAAAAAAAUUAAUCUUAAACAUUUUUUAUUACAUGAUUCUUCUAUCUCCCCGGGAAUAAGCACAUUGAGCUAGCACCAGCUGUAGGCUCCUGGCCUAGCUAACUGAAGACAAUAGAGGGCUUGGGAAGAGGUUAAAUUAGAAACCAAAGCAGCAGAGUCACAGGGUGUUCUAGCAAUGAUGCCACCUCCCCCCCAGAAGGCAAAUCUGUGAUGCAAGGGUGCCCAAAAGCUCUCCUGCACCUUCCACCAGAGGGGUCCUUUGCUCAGCCCUUCACCGCUUUAUAGUGCUUGUGAAGACCUAAGAAAUAAGUUGAUUCCAUGCCCAUUGUGACCCUGCCUCCAGGGGAGCCCAGAAACAACAAACUUUACAGCUGUCAUCCUCCCACGGCAAAUUUGGGGACUAGUGGACUUUUGCUUUUGAUGUAGCAACCAAUACCCUCUCUCUCUUCAGGAACUCCACUUACUAGAUCCUUAUUAGACCUGCUCUUUAAAAAUCUAUAUUAAUCAUUUGCUUCCUAAUAUGACCUUGCAUCAUCAUGCUACUUCUCCCAAUUAUGUACUUGUUGAGCCUUAUCUUUAAUUGCAAAAUGAAAAUAUGAAGUCUCAGAGAGGAAGCAGAGUCUCAUCCUUCAUGAUCAACAGGUGAGGAUGGUCCGAUAUACAACCUGGGCUUUCCACGUUGAUGAAACUGUGCACUAUACAGGAGCUCAAAUUUGUGGGUUUUCUAAAAUGGCAGUAGGCUUGCCAAUGGAGCUUUUAUACUAGUGGAAGUAGCAAGUAGGAAGAUAAUAAGGUAAAAGCUAGUCACUUUUCUUCUGAGUAAUUUCUUUAAUUGAGUGAAGUUAAGAUAGGGUAGGAUUGCAUUUGCAAAAAAUGUUAAUUCUUUCGGCAAAUAUCUAUUAAGGUUAUACCAUAUGUCAGGCACUGUGCGAAGUGCUGGUGGUUGUCUUAGGCUGGGCUUCCUCAGAAACAGACCUUGAGGUUAGGAUUUAAGUAAAAGUGGUUUUGAAUUGGGAAAGUUAUCCCAGGAAGUACUGUAAGGGGAGUGAGAAAGUGAGACAGAGAAAAGGAAAAGACGUUGAUAUAGGGUGUAUUCAUGAGCAGGGUACCACUGUGGGCAAGGGGGACUCAAUCCACUGGGAACCUCAGGGGCAGAAAAAGCAUGGAACUCCCUUAGGGCUGGAACACUGAAGGACAAGGAAAUGUGUAAUGCUGUUGGGAUGGUUGAUCUGCACUUCUGGCCUGCCACUGUAGCAGUGGAGCAAAUACCCUGUGGUUACUGCAACUGCUGCUGCUGCCCCAAGACUACUGCCCCCUCCUCCCAACCUAUAAAUACCCUGUUCCUUCCUCUCCCUACUUAAAGCUGAGAGGGAGGAUCUGUGAAUUUCAAUUAUCCCUAUUCUCUGCUCUUUACAAUGUUAAGCUGCCUCUACCCUUUGUAGCUUUCCAUCCAUAUUUCAUAGGAUGAUGGAGUUUUUGCCUUCAGCUCCUUUCUUUACAAUUCAUGACAACUACUGUUGAUUUAUUCCCUUAUAGGUAACUGGUUUAAGCAGCCUUUGAGCCCCAGUGGAAGUCCUCUGUUGAAAUGAAUUGAUUAGGCUUCCUCUAAGGAAGAGAUGCGGCUGCAUAGGUAAUCAGGGAAGGUGACAAGUCGAUAAAGGAGUUCAAAGAACAGAGAACCACUGGGAGAGAGGAUCACUGUUCCUAAAACUGGAGGGAAACAGUGAUAUACAGCUUGUAUGUUUCCAGUGAUUUGAAAUUGAAGCACAUAACACAGACAGAAGCUGAGUAUGACAACAGUGAUAAGGGUCUAUGAAGCACAAAAGGAUCAAAGGAAAACGUCAGUGGGAAAUAGAUUGGGAAUAAAGAAGAAAGGGAGGAAGUGGGCAGAAAAAGAGGCUGAUCAGGAGAGCGAGAACCUACCUACAGUGGAGGAGAGCGGAGCAGGGUGGUGUGACAGGAGGUGCCCUGAGGACACGGAGCCAUCCAACAGAGGCUGAAGUCUAGAAACCCAGGCAGGAAUGAGGCUGUGCCUGCUCUCAAGGAGCAACUGCCCAGCGGAGACGCCAGCACCGGCAGCCCCGAGAUGUUCACGGCGGCGACAUGCUCCUGUGCAUCAGCGGAGAGCAAGUCAGUCUCCCCUCCAGCUGCCUCGUGCCUCUGCCCACACGGAGCUCCACCGCCCUGAGUCCACCUCCCUCCACCCUCAGGCUGCCUUGGUCACCAUCAGAAGUCCAAGCCUCCAUAUCACUAUCAUUGGCUGGGUUGUUCUGAAUCUCACUAAUCUAACCUCAACCUCCACCCUCCCCAUCCUCCCAAAUCAUUCCAAAAGGUCCCUUUGAAAUUCAUUAUCAUCAACAAAGUCCCAGCAUGUCUUCAAUCUCUCGCCUAAAUAUUACAUUCCUUUUAUUUAUUUAUUUUUUUUUGCUCUAACUCAGGAGCUGACAAACAUUUUCUGUCAAGUGCCAGAUAAUAAAUAUUUUAGGCAUUACAGACCACAUAGUCUCUGUGGCAAUUGCCUAACUUUGCCAUUAUAGUGCAAAAGCACCCAUAGAAAAAUAUGUGAACAAAUGAGUGUGGCUGUGUUCCAAUAAAACUUUAUUGACAAAAUCUGGAGGGCAGACCAGACUUGGCCCAGGGGUGAUAACUUCCCGAUCCUGCUCUAAGGGAAACCUAGAUACCCCUCUGUGGAGGUGGCUUCCUGCCGUAUUCAGGUGAAGGUUGUUUUUCCCUCUUAAAACCUUCCUAGAUCAGAGCUAUCAAUUACCAAUCUCUCUUUUACAUCCUCUUGUUCUUUGAUGAAUUGAACACUUAAGUCACUUCACUUUCAACCCUGCCAUCAUUCUUGGAGACUUCAGAAUUUAAUAAAUGGUCCAUCCAACACCCUGGUCCUUCAGUUCCUUAAUCUUUUAGGAGCAAUAAUCUCUUAUUCUGCCUCCCUUCAGCCGCCUAUUCACAACGCCGUACCCUAGACCUCGUCAUCACCAAGUACAUCCCCAGUAUUGUGAGUGCAAACAUCUCUCCUCCAGCACAUCCAGUAACCCCACCCCCAAGUCCCCUGAAUUUCACAGGCCUCCAGUGCCCCGGCCAUCCCUCUCCGUACGCACUAUGUCCCCCAUGUCCUCACUACAAUCCAGCUCCAUAACCACUUCCCAGAAAACAUGCAGUGCUCUUUUGUCCCUCUGCCUCCUCAUCACACCCCAGCCCCAGCGAAGCCCAUAUAUCACCUAAAUCUGUACCUGCUGCAGAGCAAUUCAGAGCAGUGGAAAAGACUCACAUGGCCACACUGACUUGACUUGCUGUGGAAAAACACAGCAGUGAACAAAACAGACCAAAAUCCCCUUCCUGGUGGAGCUAUCAUUCUAGUGAGAGAAAAAAAGACAAUAAGCAAAAGAAAUAAUUAAAAUAUUUAGUAAGUUAAAGGACAACAAUGGCUAAGGAGAAAAAAAUAAAGGAAGGAAGUUAUGAAGGGAGAGGAGGAUGUGAAAUUUUAGAUAAGGUGGCCAGGGAAGGCCUGCUGGUAAGAUAGCUUUUGGAUGAAAACCAGAAGUGAGCGAGGGCAAGACUAUGUGUGUUUUUGGAAGAACAUCCCAUGCUGAGGGAACACAAUAACACAAAGGCCUUGUGGUGGGUGUGUGCCCCGCUCAGAAGCGAUGCAACAGAGAGGCCUGUGGGGCACAGGGAGAGUGGGGGAAAAGGGAAGAGUAGAAGGAGAUGUGGCCAGAGGACACCCAUGUAUUUCCCUAGUUUCCUUAGCACGGGGUCCUCUGCUCAGGCUUCAGGCUGCAAUUGAGGUGUUGGGUGGGCUGCAGUCUCAUCUGGAGGCUCAACGAGGGAGGGAUCCUUGUCCAAGCUCAUUCAGGUUGCUUGCAGAAUUCACUUCCUUGCAGCUGUAGGACUGAGAACUCUAGCACUGUUUUGCUGAGAGUCAGCCAGAGGCCAACUUCAGCUUCUAGAGGCUGCAGAAAAUUCCCUGCCACAUGGUCCACUCCAUGGGCAGAUCACAAUGUGACAACUUGCUUUUUAAGGCUAGUAGGAGAGUAAGAGUGAGUCUUUUAGCAAGAGAAUGUGAUGUAAACACAGGAGUGAUGUCCAUCAUGUUGCUGUAUUCUGUGGUCAGAAGGCAUCACAGAUCCCACCCAUGCCCAAGGGAGGACAGAGGCAGGGACACCAGGAGGGAGGAUCUUGAGGCCUCCUUAGGGUCUGUCUGCUGCAGAACUCAAGUCACAUAAGGAUAUAGAUGCCUUUGAAGGACUUAGACUUUUUCUCUGAGACCGGCGGUCAUUGGAAGGUUUGAACUGAAGAAUGAUGUGCUGUGAGAGAACAGACUCUGGGGGGCCAAGGACAGAAGCAGGUAGCAAAAUUAGGAGAGUAUUGCAAUAGUCCAGGUGUAAGUGGAUGGGGUAAGUUUGGAGUGGUGUCCAUGUGGAAGAAGAGGCCAUGUUCUGGGUGUGUUUUUAAGGCAGAGCCGACAUAAUUUGCUAACAGGUCCAAUGUAGAAUGAGAGUAAAAGAGAGGAGUCAAGGGUUAUUUCAGGUUUUUGACCUGAGCAACUGGAAGGGUAGAGUUGCAUUAACUAUGACAGAAAAUAUUGAGGGAAAGCAAGUUUGAG
Molecule: non-coding RNA, 4948 nt
Organism: Microcebus murinus (gray mouse lemur)
Lineage: Eukaryota; Metazoa; Chordata; Mammalia; Primates; Cheirogaleidae
Source: RefSeq, a predicted model, not a curated record